CUGUCACAACGGCUUCCUGACGUGAUGGUUUAAUUUGACAACGGAGCA
RNAcentral lists this non-coding RNA (48 nucleotides) under unclassified sequences. RNAcentral describes it as "SAM-SAH-Weickhmann-2018 RNA". It matches the Rfam family "SAM/SAH riboswitch aptamer". The record is from RNAcentral.